UACGGAAGGCAGCAGUGGGGAAUAUUGCACAAUGGGCGAAAGCCUGAUGCAGCUAUGCCGCGUGUAUGAAGAAGGCCUUAGGGUUGUAAAGUACUUUCAUCGGGGAGGAAAAACAAAACUAAUAAUUUUAUUUCUUGACGUUACCCGAAAAAGAAGCACCGGCUAACUCCGUGCCAGCAGCCGCGGUAAUACGGAGGGUGCUAGCGUUAAUCAGAAUUACUGGGCGUAAAGAGCACGUAGGUGGUUUUUUUAAGUCAGAUGUGAAAUCCCUGGGCUUAACCUAGGAACUGCAUUUUGAAACUGAAAUACUAGAGUAUCGUAGAGGGAGGUAGAAUUCUAGGUGUAGCGGUGAAAUGCGUAGAUAUCUGGAGGAAUACCUGUGGCGAAAGCGGCCUCCUAAACGAAUACUGACACUGAGGUGCGAAAAGCGUGGGGGAGCAAAACAGGGAUUAAGAUACC
This 459-nucleotide ribosomal RNA is filed under the name uncultured bacterium. RNAcentral describes it as "bacterial SSU rRNA". It matches the Rfam family "Bacterial small subunit ribosomal RNA", at positions 340 to 786 of the family's 1533-position model. The record is from RNAcentral.